Molecule: unclassified non-coding RNA, 256 nt
Filed under: Chaetothyriales sp.
Lineage: Eukaryota; Fungi; Ascomycota; Eurotiomycetes; Chaetothyriales
Description: partial contains small subunit ribosomal RNA, internal transcribed spacer 1, and 5.8S ribosomal RNA
Rfam family: Eukaryotic small subunit ribosomal RNA (bases 1-46)
Source: RNAcentral
AAGUCGUAACAAGGUUUCCGUAGGUGAACCUGCGGAAGGAUCAUUAAAGAGUUAGGGUCUUCGGGCCCCAUCUCCAACCCUAUGUUUAACUACCAUGUUGCUUUGGCGGGCCCGUCUUACGACCGCUGGAGGUGUCGGUUUCACCGAUACUUCUAGCCCGUGCCCGUCAGUGGCCCCAACAAAUUCUUGAUCAAUUAUGACGUCUUAGUUAUAAACUUAAUAGUUAAAACUUUCAACAACGGAUCUCUUGGUUCUG